GACGAACGCUGGCGGCGUGCUUAACACAUGCAAGUCGAACGGAAAGGCCCUGCUUUUGUGGGGUGCUCGAGUGGCGAACGGGUGAGUAACACGUGAGUAACCUGCCCUUGACUUUGGGAUAACUUCAGGAAACUGGGGCUAAUACCGGAUAGGAGCUCCUGCUGCAUGGUGGGGGUUGGAAAGUUUCGGCGGUUGGGGAUGGACUCGCGGCUUAUCAGCUUGUUGGUGGGGUAGUGGCUUACCAAGGCUUUGACGGGUAGCCGGCCUGAGAGGGUGACCGGCCACAUUGGGACUGAGAGACGGCGCAGACUCCUACGGGAGGCAGCAGUGGGGAAUAUUGCACAAUGGGCGGAAGCCUGAUGCAGCAACGCCGCGUGCGGUAUGACGGCCUUCGGGUUGUAAACCGCUUUCGCCUGUGACGAAGCGUGAGUGACGGUAAUGGGUAAAGAAGCACCGGCUAACUACGUG
This 468-nucleotide ribosomal RNA is filed under the name uncultured bacterium. RNAcentral's name for it is "partial 16S ribosomal RNA". It matches the Rfam family "Bacterial small subunit ribosomal RNA", at positions 28 to 507 of the family's 1533-position model. The record is from RNAcentral.